This is a non-coding RNA of Ictidomys tridecemlineatus (thirteen-lined ground squirrel), 9456 nucleotides long. NCBI's taxonomy places the organism in Eukaryota, Metazoa, Chordata, Mammalia, Rodentia, Sciuridae. The record is from RefSeq and is a predicted model, not a curated record.
AUUGUGGGUGAGUCCCCUCUGGGAGAGGGCUCUGCAGAGGAGGAGAUGCCAAGAGGUCUCUCAACCUGGCUCUCGAGAGCUGCGUGGUUCCAUGCCCGACUCGGCCUCAGUUUCUCCCUUUGUGACAGCAGCUGUGUUUGGAAGCUGAGGGCGGCUUAAGGCAAAGUGGUCCGGGGGACGGUCGGAGGGUGGGAAUGGCCGCACUAGUACUCGCUGGUCAAUGGCAGCUGUGGGCAGAACCCCUCGGGUCUCCACCACCGAAGCCAGGAGGGUUUGUCCCCCUUUUAAAGGCAGGCCUGGGGGAGGGGCAGGCCUACUGGAGAGAUCUGGGACUUCAGCACCUGAAGUCUGCACAGAGGUCCCCGAUGACCAGUGCCAGACCACCUGGGCGCUCGUUAGAAAUCUAAACUCAAGUCAGAAUCUGCCUGUGAACAAGAUUCCCGAGGUCACGGCCAAGUUCCUCCUGCUCUGAAAAUAUCUGUUAGGCCCUUGAGUGGAGUCAGCUGGCCUCCGGGGGCCUCCAGGUGGGUGGACAUUCAUCCUGCGGGGACUUUGAAGUGCACUGGAGGAAUACAUCCUGGGUAGGUGAAAGGGCAAGGUGUCCCAAGGUUGGAUGUCAAGGUCAGUGUGUCUGACCUUGAAAGCUGGGUGGCAUAAUGGAUGGUACCAGCCGGGAUUAAAAAGCAGGGUGGGCUGGGGGGCUUCACCUGUCUGGGCCUGGGUGUCCUCAUUGGUCAACAGAGUUGGUAAUGGGCACGAUUGUGGGUAUCUUGCCUGGCCCUGGGCUAAGCAUGUCACUUAGGUGUUGUGACGCUGUCUCCUUCCAUCCUCCCAGCAAGGGCAGGGGGUGCGUGUGUCCAGGGGUUGUGUCCAGCCCAAGGACGCAGCUGGUGAGCAGUAGGAUCAGGAUGCCACCCCAGCCAGUCCCACCCCACAGACCACGCUUUCAACUGCUGCGGCUGUUUCUAAGGAGACGGAGAAAGGGCCAAUUAGGACCGAGAACCAGGAGACGGCCUGGAGGGCAGUGCUCGAAUCGUGUUGUGAAGAGCGAGUCCUCCCAGCCUCCGUGUCGGAGGGCAUCUCUGGUGCCCGGCUCGGGCAGUCAGGGUUGCUACUGCUGACCUCGCCCUGCAGCUCCUGGGCACCUCCUGGCUUUGCUGGCGGCAUGUCUGCUGUGACCAGUGGGCUCUGAGGACUGGCUCCAGCCCCAGGGACCCUCGAGGGUCUGGAUGGCCGCUGGGCUGUGUUCUCCGCCUGACUGCCGAGCGGCGGGGACUGUCACUGAGUGCGGCUGUGGCCAGCGCUGACCGUCUUUGAUCUCUUGCUGUGGUUCGCCCAGGGCUCCAAGGACAGGUCUGUGUGGAGCAGAGGCGGAUUUUCUUGUCGACAGCUGGGUCUGGUCACAUGCAUGUCCCUCACUCGGAGAGGAAACACGGCUUCUUCUCUGGGCACCCGGGGCUGGGGAGGCCACCUCACAGCUGGAGCUUGCUGCCUCCUUCCCGGCCCCCAGCUGUCCUUUUCCCGUACCUAGGAACUGUGUCCUGGACGCCAGGAGGAGGCUUGGCAGAUGCCGUUACUCAGUGCUUGUUGCGUGGACAAACGGGACUGCGUUAGGCCCUGCGCCAAACCCGCUCCGUACCUCUUAUGCUUUGACCUCACGCUGACCCUGUGAGGUGGGCGAUGUUUCUAUCUCCAUGUUACGAAAGACGAACUGAACGUGGAAGGGCAAGCAGCCUGCUCCCGAGCACACCGCCCAUCAGUGUCAGAGCAAGGGGGCACCAGUGUCCUCUAGCGUCUCCGUCACGUGGACACAGUGCCAACAGUCACACGUCCCUCUGUGGGACACCCCGGAGGUGUAUGUCCUGUAUCGUAGAUACGCUCACGGCCAUGUGUAAGGUCCAGCCACUGAGCUGCGGGACAAUGUCCCCGAUACCCAGUGGCUUAUGAAGAUGAGCCUUUCCAUCUUGCUCGUAGGUCUGUGGGGUGAGACUGCUUCAGGCUGAAGGUCAAGGUCAAGGUCAAGUGUGACCCCUGCCUUUGCUUCUGAGGCCCAGACUGGAGGAGCAGUGGUUUCCUGGUGGGGGCUGGCACUUCCUGAGGGUGGACAGAACCCCCUGGUGUGUUUUAGUGGUGCGGCUGGGAACUGGGACGCCAUCUCUCCGCCCCGUUUCCAUGAGCAAAGCCCACCCUACUCCGAGGGGCAGGGGAUCGAGUUCUUCCCACCACAGAGGGAACGGCGGCAGCAGAGCCUGGCUGGAUAAGGGCACGUCCCUUGCAUCGCUGUCCUUAAACACAGGUGUGCUGUGCGCUGUGCUCUGUGAGCCCGGCUUCAGCAAAGACCCCCUUAGGGCCCCCCACUCUGCUGGACGCUAAUUUCCUUGUUGGGACAAUGGGGUCCCCACUGACUGGCUUAUGCUGAGAGUUAACUUUUACUAUUCCCCCGAGUUCAGGGGACACCCCCCACCUGAGCACCCCACGUGGAACAGGGUGAGGAGGACGCGGGCUUGGGCUCUGCAGCUGCCGGUUCCCUGGCCUGUCACGGUCAUCUGGGUGACCUCGUAGGUACCUCUUUGAGCCUCAGCCACCUUCUCUGUGAAGUGGGCAUGAACGGGACCCUCUCACAGAGGGUGACCACGGCGAUGGGACGCAUGGAAAAGCUGAGCAUGCGCUGCUCCUGAGAUGUGGUGACCGCUGGCCGCCUUCACCAACAGUGAUUCCGUUCUUGGGAUAAAACCAGAGAAUACUGCGUCCCUGUGCUGCUCGAGAAACUGUCCUGACUGUUCUGCCCGUGUCCCUCUGGGCCAGUCUCCUUCCCAGUCAGACGCACGUCGACUCUCGCUGUCAACGGGAAGGCUCAGGCGCUGCUUGGGGCAUUUAGAUGGCGUUUGCCGAUCCCUGGCUGCCGCGAUCCCUGGCUGCCGCGGCCAAUUUGUUCCCGAUCUCAAGGUCGAUUUUGAAUAAUUUCAACUGGGUGAAGCCUCUUGCAUGGAGUCGGGGAGAUACACUGUUAAGGCAGGGGCCGGGCAGGGCGGGGGGCUGUUUCUCUUUUGGAGGGUCUCUUUGAUUUGGGGGGGGGACGAGAAGGCUCCCAGCUCUGCCAAGAAGGUCCCAGGUGGUCUUGAGGGUCGGAGAAGAGGACAAGCAACAGGAGAAGAGCUAGGGAGUGCAGGACGCCGUGCUGGCGAUUGACACACGCUCCACUUGGGAGGCCCGGGAGCCUGUCUGAAGUCUGUGCUCCCCUCGGCCUCCCUCCCUCCCUUCCUGUUCAGGGAGGGGCUCCAAAGCCCAGCUGCGCUCAGCCGCCCUUCACCUCCCCUGGUCCCCUGCGGGGGCCCUGGGAGCACGGAGCUGGUGGGUUGAACUUGCUGGUCCCACUGGGAGUGGACCCUCGAGUCUGAGAUGGUGUCUGGCUCCCCAGCAGCUGACCUGGCCUCAGCCCCGUUGCUUGAUCCCUGGUGCAGACUUAGAGGUGACCGUGGUACGUCCGGGUGGCAUGACAGGUGGCCUGUGGGAUGCGGACACCUGUCUGAAUCUCUGAGUCCUGUGACUUAGGUGGUGAGGCUCCUUGGAAGCCCGAGACAGGGAUGGGGGUGAGGGUCCAUUCAGGGACCCCGUGGUGCUCUGGAGCAUGCGGUCGGGGAGCUGCCUUUGCCUGGAAGCAGACGGGCAGGACCUCCUCUGACCUCACUGCUGUGCUGGUCCUAGGGUGGGUGACAGGCUGCCGUCGGCCUAGGGGAUUCUCUGGAGCCAGUGUCUGCCCAGCUGAGAGGCACAGACGGGCACGGAUGGGCACGGACGGGCACGGACGGGCGGGCUGGUAAAGGGCCUCUGGCGGGCCACCCGCAGCAGGGACCACGUUGCACACCCUCUCUGGCCUCCGUGCUCCUCACCUGUAAGGUGGGCAAGUUGGUAAAACCUGCCUCCGAGCCUUAAUGACCCCAUGCCUGUGGCUGGCUUGGCCCAGCGCGGGCUCCACGGUGUCCACUGUAACCACGAUCGGUGGCCGGGGAGCCGUAACAGCUCUCACGAGCACCCAGUAUCUCAUUUAAUUCUCACGAGGCAGGUUUUACCACCAGGGCAGAGAAGAUGCAGAACCGGGGCACGGCGGGGAGAAGCACCUCGACUGAGCCCAGAGGGCAGGACCUGGCUUCCGGGCCAGGGGGUUCAGAGCCCCCAAGGGAGCCGUCUUGGAGGAUGGAUGCUUCUGACCUGGGGAUGUCAUUUUUUGUCACUCUUCCUUCCUUGACUUUAUCCAUCGUCUCUCCUGUGUCUCUGAGUCUCUGCGUAGUCUCUUCUCUGAGCUGGAAAUGCUUCUCCCCGUUUGCCUCAUCUGCUGUCGUUCUUUAAGUCUGAGCUGAGGCUGGCCUCUUCCAGGAAGCCCUCCAGAUGAGUCCCUCCCUGCCUGCCCUUUGCCUUCCCUCACCAAAGCACCUAUUAGAAUACAGUGUGAGUGUCCCCCGCGCUGGCCUGCGGCUCCGAAGGCAUGGGCAUCUCACCCGUCCCACUUACCACUGUGACCCCGGCCCCGCGCAUCUUGUCUGCCACAUAGUAGGUCCUCCAUACACGUUUGUUUCAUGGCGUGAGGAGCGCUCCAUCCACAUCCAAACCGAAACAGUGGAGGCUUAUGAAGUUCUUGUCGAGGUGAAUCAAAACAGGAGGAACUGAAUUCUUGCUGGGAAUGUUCUAGAACCAAUCGGAGACAUUGCUGAGAAUUUGGGCAACCCAGAAAAGAAGUCAAAUCCACCCACUGCCACUUCUAGGCAAUUUAUGCACAUGGAGAAUUACGGCAAGAGGUGGAGGGGGAUGGCACCUAGGACAUCCUCGCACCUGGGACAGCGCAACCAAAAAUCCACUCGAUAAAGUAAACACGGCCACGUCUGAGAUCUGAGCAGAAGAUGAGUCCGUCAUUUAAAAAGUGUUUGAAGAGCGACUUGGCCUGCACCCAGCAGCUCCUAGGGGUUCUAGAUGGUUCUACCCCGGGGUUCAGGCUUCUCCCCACCUUCUGCCUGGCUUCCCGGGGAGGCUAAAGGUGACUCUGGGAGUUUGGUGGCACCAUGCAUUGAGGAGCGGGGUCUGUUUCCUUGGGCCUGGGCUGCCCCAGGACUGCUGUGACCCCCCAGAGGGCCAUCGACGUGAUACCAGGGAGUCUUGCCUCCUAGGUGAGUCUUGCCUCCUCGGGUGCCGGACAGUUUUCGGCCUGGGCGCUGUCCUAGGUGCUGAAGACCCAGAGCCCAGCCAGAGAUCUUGCUCUGUGUUUGGUUCAGAGCUGGAUCGAGAUCUCUCCUUGGUUCCAACCCGUCGGAGACCCGUGUGUUUCCUGCCAGGUGGGGAGACGACCGAUACCGAGUGUGCGUGAUUCACAUUUGCCAUUAUUGUGUGGUCACAGGCCGUGUUGCCAUGAGUGCUCACCCCUGAAUGGUCACCCUUUUUAGUGUCUGCGUAGUAUUUGAUUGGGUGGAUACAGCGCCCUCUAGUGAGCCAUUUCCCCAUCGGUGGGUAAUGAAGUGACUUCCUCAGAGGCUUGGGGGACUCAGAUUGAGAGGUCGUCCUGCAGUCUGGGGUCGGGGGAGAGCCACCCCUACUCUUGGAACCCUGUGAGCUGGAGUUUCCCCAGACUGGCCUGUCCUGUAGGCAUGUCCCUGCAGCAAAGGGGGUGCUGGGGUUAUUGGGGUGGCAGGAAGGACCGUGGAUACCCCCUUACAGGGUCUCCCAUGCUUGGCCCUUUGUCCCGGCACCUGGCUCAGGUCUAGGUACCUUUGAACUGAGGCUUUCUCCUCUUCUCAUGUCUUGGCUCCAUUUUGACUCUCCGCACUUCUUGCUUGUCUUUGGAUUGAAUUCUCGUCUCCCUUUCCCCGAUCCCAGUCUCUGGCAAUGAUAGUUGCCCUGGGGGAUUGGCAGGUGCUGUGGGUGCCUUGCCUGCCUCCUUUCGGUGCUCAGUAUCCCCGUGGCCAGCAACCACAACAGUGCCCAGGCUUUAUCUGGCCACUAGAGCAUGCGGCGUGUGUAAAGGUCCUGGGGCAGGAAGACUAGCGUGGCAGAGACCGGAGUGGAGGUGCGUUGGGACGACUGAUGAUCUGAAAGCAAAUUUGCCUUGACAUCCGCUCCCCUUCCGUUUCCUUCUCUGUCUGUGCACUUCUGUUUUUUUUUUUUGAGCCCCAUUAUGGUCUGGCUUCAUCUAAAUGCAUCUGAAAUGAAAUCUCUAAUGUUAACAGCGUUGUCAGACGCCAGGGCCUCAUUUCUCCUUGGUCCCUUUUCACUGGAAGCGAUCUGUGAAGUCCUGGGGAGGAUAUGAGGGUUUUGAUGGUUUGAUUAUUUUUUUUUCCUGGUAGGACCACAUUAUGUUAAUUUCCCUGUUGUCUUAGGGUCUGAGCACAUAAAAGCAAUAACUCUUCUCUGUGAAGACUGAACGCGCCGAGAGGUUGUCAUAGAAACGGGGGGUGGGGGGACCUUCACGUCGGCUUGGGCAAAUCAAAGAACCCCCGAUAGAAGACUGAACUCGGAACUCGGUGGCCCAGUCGCGCGGCGUGUGGGAGAGAGGAGAAGGUCAACGUGGGGCAUGUGGACAGAGGGAGGGUGAGGAGGGGACGUGGGUCCUGGGCAUGGGUCACCUUGGUUUAAACACCCCCUUUCCUUUCUCUUUCCAAAGAUUUAGGUGGGAGUGGGUUUGGCCGAGAAGGGACGCAGGGGACGUGGCAGGUGACGUGGCAGGUGACACAGGUGCUGGGGCAGGAAGGGAGGUGGCCCUGAGUGCGUCCUCCCCGUGGAGUGUCCUCUGACGUCUUGGUCGUGGGAUUGAAGGGACUCCAACAUUCCCGGCUCUUCCUGCUUUGGUUUCUUGGCAGGUUUACUGACCGUGUCUCAAGCCGAGUUUCAGAAUUCACGAGUCGCGGUGGAUUUACCUUCUGAAGCCAAUUACUUCGGCUCCUAGUGACCCCUUGGAAGAAGGGCACUGGGGGACAGAGGAGGAAGCAGAGUCGGGGACGGAGCGUGGCAGCGGCUGGUGGCCAUGGUGACAGACGGGGUCACAAACCUCCGAGCGUGGCCUCCUGAGAGUGGCCGUGGACCCAGGGGCUUUCACAAGGUGUCCCCGAGGUCGUAUUGGGUCAGCCUGGGGUCAGGUCCUGGGCUGGGGACGUGGGAUGCUGGUUCUGCCCUCAUGUGGCAUCUUAGGGUCCCCUUGUGAGGUGCUUUUGAGGGGACGGUUCCUCACGGGUGGCCUCCACCCCAGAGCCCUGUGGUCCUGCCUCCUCGUGUUCUGUUCCUUGACCGUUUAAGGAGCAGGUGAUUAGAGUCCCCGUGUGACGUGUUGGUGGCGAUGAGCCCCUGUGUGUCCAGCCCCGCGGCAGAGUGGCUCCCCGCUCCUCUCAUCAGGUGGCCGGUGCAGACGGAAGGAGGGCGCGGACCCCUUCCUGGGGUCUCCUGUAGCCGGCGCUCAGGCCCCACGGACCUUGAGCUUCACGGCUCCGCUGCUCGCAGCCUCCAGGAGCUCACAGACGUGGGUCAGCCGCUUGAUGAGUGCUCGCUGUGACAGAAUGUGUCCCCCACGUGGGGGACCCUGAACCCCCAACGCGAUGGUGCUAGGAGAGGAGGACUUCAGGAACCGAUUAGGCCCUCCUGAUGGGAUUAGUGUCCUUCCAAAAGAGGCCCCAGGGCCAGCGGCCACCCAAGUUCACCCUCCCUGAUCGACUGUCCACGCCACGUCCAUGUUGGAAGACCAGGUGGGGCGGAAAGGCCUGGCUUUUCUUGAGUUAAUUCUGGCGAUCACGACUGUCGAGGAGGACAGUUAAAUUGGGAAAUGGAGCCUGAACCCCUAGUGGUGGUUUUGGGGUUACCUGAGUACUCUGUGGUCACACUGUCCCUGAGGAAGGGACUCACGGAUGACUGAAGAGUCUCGAGUGGACGCAGCGCCUGGCUCACAGGAGGUACUCAACGCGGUGUGUGUGGACCUCCGAGGAGCCCUGACCCUCUGACCCCACGGUCCCAUGUCACUGUCGGACGUUUUAUAACAAAGUAGAAGGACCCAGGCCAGAUGGGAUCCUGACCCUCGGAGAUCUAGGCAAAGCCUGCUCUAACGUGGGGAGGGGUCUCCUGGGGUCCCAUGGGCUGCCGGCUCCAGCGCCCUGCUUCCCCCCAGGAGCCCAGCGCAGGACCCUGUCUGUCCCCGAUGCUUACGGGGAAUCGCCUCCCGGCCCCGGAGCCCGGGUGACUCCCCUGGAGCACGCCGUCUGUGGAGAGAAUUCCUCUGGCUCACGUCGGCUUCCGGAACCUUCUACUCUGCCCCCACCCCGCCCGCCUCCCUUUUCCUUUUUAUCAUGCAGGUUACUUCUCUCCAGUUCCGGCUUCCAAAUCUGCUCCUCUCCAUAUUUCUCAGGCUCCAGCAGAGCAAGGAAAUCCUCCUCCAUGAAGUUUUGAAAAAAGAAAAAGAAACUAUUUUUGAUAUUUUUCCUCUGGAAAAAAAAAAAUCCCGCAUCUUAUUUGCGGCAUCCGACGGGGUCCCCUUGGAGACGUUCGCCUGGCUUCUGCGAUUCUGCCGAAUCCUCCACACUUCAUCUUGUCGCUUGCCAGGUGGAUCUGGGGACUCUCCCGGCCAAGGGCUCGGGAUGCGUUCCUGCUCUGCUCUAUGGCUGCGCGUCCCCCCCGUGUGACGUUGGAGCCGCCUGGAGGGUCAUCGCCCGGAGCCAGCUCCUGGGAAGAACUCAGUUCUGUCUCUGACCCCAGGGACAGUCCCAGGCCACUCCCAGCCCCCAUGCUCAGCAAAUCGAGGCUCAGAAAUGCGAUUUUUUUUUUUUUUUUAGUUUUACCAAGAAAUUGUUCUUUUUCACUCCUUUUAAGAACUGGCUACCCUUGAAGUGAAAAAAUGGACAGAAGGGACAGUUGAAAUAUUUUCAUAUCCCUUUCCACGUUGUCCCUUGAUCCCCCCCAGCCUGGGUUCCGUUCCUACCGCUCCUGGGUCCCGGCUGUGCAAAGUUUUCUGCAGUUAAAACCAGACGCGGCUCUUCCUCUGGUUGUAGAAAGGAAACUCCCCUCCGACGGCCUGUCGGGCUGAACCGCGGCAAAGCAGGGGUGACCCGGGACCCUGCCUUUCCUCAAGCGCCCGGGGCAGGCUGGCUGGGUGACCUGAGGGUCCGGUGCCCGGGGAGGAUGCCAGGGACUUCAAGACACCAACAGCAGAACGGGGUCCCCCAGGUGAGGGGGGGGGCACGUGUGACCGCUCCCGAGGCACACCAGAGAGCUGGCCCUGACCCCAUAACGCACAGAGAGGGACGUCGCCUCGAGUUCUCUGGUCGUGACGUUGGAUGUCAGCCAAGAAGUUAAAACUGGCGUCACGUCAGACCUGUGAUCCUCCUGCCUCAGCCUCUCAGCUGCUGGAAUUACAGGCCUAAGCCUCUGUGCCCAGCCAAUUACUUCUUUGUAUUUAAAAAAAAAAAUACAAAUCCACCUUAUUCCAAGAAGGAA